UACUUGGAGCUUUACUUUACAGCUGCCCAGC
This 31-nucleotide non-coding RNA is filed under the name Mus musculus (house mouse). Lineage: Eukaryota; Metazoa; Chordata; Mammalia; Rodentia; Muridae. The record is from RNAcentral.